Delphinapterus leucas (beluga whale) is the source of this 16985-nucleotide non-coding RNA. The record is from RefSeq and is a predicted model, not a curated record. Lineage: Eukaryota; Metazoa; Chordata; Mammalia; Artiodactyla; Monodontidae.
CGGUCGGCUCGACUAGAAGACGAAGGGGGCGUCUCCCCUGCUUCCUGCGGCGUCGGAGGCGAGUUGAGGUGGUGGCAGGCUGCGGCUACGAAGGCGUCAGCGGUGGCGGCGGCGCCAUGGCAGGGCUCGCAGGAUCCCUGCUGCCUUGGUGAUCCCGGGCUGACAGCCAGAGACCACAGCGGCUCAGCUCCUGGAGAGCGAGGGUUGAAGAAAGCAGAGGGCAGCCGCCCGCGCCCGCUGGCUCCCAUUAGGUCGGUUCCUGCAGCGGUGCCCGGUGGCCUUGGCGAAGGCCCUGUCCAGCAGAGAUCAUGUAUUGCCUCCAGUGGCUGCUGCCCGUCCUCCUCAUCCCCAAGCCCCUCAACCCCGCCCUGUGGUUCAGCCACUCCAUGUUCAUGGGCUUCUACCUGCUCAGCUUCCUCCUGGAACGGAAGCCUUGCACAAUUUGUGCCUUGGUUUUCCUGGCAGCCCUGUUCCUCAUCUGCUAUAGCUGCUGGGGAAACUGUUUCCUGUACCACUGUUCCGAUUCCCCGCUUCCGGAAUCGGCACACGACCCCGGCGUUGUGGGCACCUAACAGCCAGCCCAGUUAGCUUUCCAAGGAAGCAGAAGACGGGAGGGGAGGCAUUGACAUAGGUCAUAAAGCAUUGGAGUUUCAAAUCCCGCGGCCCUGCGGGUGCCACAUUCCUGAUGGCGCCUUUUUGGCCUGUGACAUUUUAUCCUUAUAAUGUGAAUAAUAGCACUGACCGGUGCUUUUAUCGUAGAGUCCUGUAGUCGUGGGUGGUCUUGUGGUUGUGUGUGUUCUGUCCCCAUCUUGGCCCCUGACUGGCAGGAUGGCCACCCCCCUCGCCUCAUUCCCACGAGGAGCCUGCACCCAUCCUGGUCAACUGCCCCAGCAUGAUCCGGGCAGAUAAAAUGCCAGCCUCAUUGUCACCUCUGUGACCCUUCCUUGUCAGGGGUUCCUCCCUUCUCAGAGUGUUACUGACUCCUCCGUCCCUCUCUUGGCUUCCUGUUAGUUCUCUUUAGCCCUUUUUUGGGGAGCACCUGUCCAAGACAGGGCUCAGUUUUGCACUUAUCUCGAAUAUAAAGAGAUUGCUGAUGCCCGAGAGCCUCGCUUUUUCAUUCUUCUUCCCUGGCCGGCAGGCUAGACAGAAUUGUGUCUUGACUGCUGUCCACAAAUCUUCAGUAUUUUCCCCACUUCAUUUUGAAGGAAGAAGUAACAGAUACAUGUUGCUCUUUCACCUGGGAGUCUGGGCUCCUGCUCAGCAGCCCAGCUUCGCUUCCUCUGCCCUUCCUCCUGCCUUUCUCAACUGUCGCAAGGAGGGGGCCUCAUUUUGUCUCCCAUGCAUGCUCUGCAGGAUUGAUGUGUGGUGUGUUUACGUAGAUCUAGCAGUCCCCAGCUGAGUGAAUGGGAGAGUACUUGUGUGUUUCAUAACAGCCACGAUCCCCUGAUAGGUGUUUGGAUAUUUUUUGGUGUGGUGUGCUGUGUGUGCGCGUGUGUGUAUACGUACGUGUACAAGUACAUGUGUACAUCCUUUUUAAAGAAGCUUUAUCGAACGUGUUGUGAUUUUGAGGUGUAGCAAUAGCUAGCUUGUAGGGGCCGCUACAGUUGGUAUUUAGUAUGGGGAUUGCAGAGUGACCAGCGCACUGGACUCCGAGGUGGUUCAGACGAGACAGAGGGGAGCGGUGGCCAUCGUCCUCGUGCCAGGAGCUUCUCCGGUCCUGCGCGUAUAGACUGUAUACGUUACGAAGAAUACACGGGAAGACUUUGUGACUGUCACUUGCUUUUUUCUUUUUCUGCGCUUCAGUAAAAGUGUUGGCACAUGAGACUGUCUCCUGGCCCCUGCCCGCUGGGGAUCAGCAUGGUUGUCCUUCCAGUCUAAACCAUCCAUCUUUCUCUUGCCUGAAGGGGGAGGGAGGUGGGCCAGGCAGAGGACAGAACUGGAGGCAGUCCAUCUAGGGGAUGGGACUGCGGGGCCACACUUGUGGAACAUUUGGACUGCUAUUCUGGAGCUUUUAUUUCUGGUGUGUUCGUUGCACAGCUGUUUGAAAUGUUUAAUAAAGCUUUAUAAACUUUACUCUGUGGUUUUAUGUGGCUGCAGUCCAUUUGGGUCGUGGUGUUGGAUUUCUAAGUUGGUGGGGGGCAGGGGGUAGCAUGGAGGGGCUGAGUCCUUGGCGCCACAGUACCUUAGGCUGAAAAUUUGAUCUGCUCUCUGGAGAGCAGAUGGUGGGAUUGGGGGAGGGGGAGCAGGGGGCAGGCCAGGCGGUGAACAGGAGGGAGUCUGAAAGUUUUCAGAGAUGAGACAUUUGCGUUUCUCAGCUCCCAUGGCUUCUCGCCUGAAACUGUUUCCCUCCGUAGGAGAUUUGAGUAACCGAUCCCUUGACAAACAACUUAAGACAGCUGGAGCUCUAAUCAUCAAGAAUUUUUAUGGUGCUGCUUUUGAAGUAAAAAUAAAGUGAAACCCCUUAUGGCAUUUCAAGUGGAAAAAUAAAUAAGGUUGGCCGUCCACGCAGGGGGCUCCGGGCGAUGGCUGGAAGUGCGGGAUUGGCGUGGUUCUGUGCCGUCAAUGUGCACGUGCUCCCAUGGCCGUGACCUUUGAGACAAAGCUGGGUGGCUUGCCAGGGCCCUGUGCUGGGUGUCCUCCUCUCCAUCUCUUCUCCUUCUAGAAAACAUAACAGGAACACUGCCUGUCCAAGGCACAGGGCUGUUGUCAGAGUUUAUUGUUGUAAAAGGGCUUGGGUUGUUUCAUAAAAGGUCAUCUGUUAUACCUAGAUUGGUAAUUUAUUGCUAUGAAGUUUUGUGUAGUUUUCUCCUGCCCUUUGCAAUCUCCCCAUUGUCAGUGUGUAUCCCUUUUUUCAUUCCUACCAUCGCCUAUCAGUGCUUUUCCUUUUCUUCGUCAAAACUUGCCAAAGGUUGGUUCAUUUUGAAGGUGUUUUCAGAGAACCAAGCUUAUUGAUUAUAUCUGCUGGGUAUUUUCCCUAUCUGAUGCUUUUGUGUUUUUACCUCUGCAUUCUUUUUUUUUCUGCGUUUCUGGAUGUAUUUUGUGGUUCAGCAAAGUCUUGACGAGUUGAGGAGUGUUACACGUGGAAAGGAUGGUUUGUUCAGCAAACAUUGAGUCCCUGUACUGGGCUUGCUGGGGAUUUCAGGGGCAAGACCCAGGCCUGACUCUCCAGGAGCGCAUGACUCUAGCCUAGUGGGAAGACUUAAGAAAAUAGACAACUGCAAAUUCCAAAAACAAAACAAACAAACAAGGCUUUUGUGGCCACGCUCUCCUGUGGAGGCACCUGGAUGAUAAAUGAAGCCAAGAUUAUUGCUUACUUUGCUCUCCCUCAGAAAGCAGCUUUCUGUCAUAGGUCAAGCUCACUAAAGAGUCACAAACAGGCCUCCCUCUGAAAGAUUUGUGGCCCUUUGCAGCAGGGAGCCUGCAGCCCACCCUUUCCCAAGGUGAUGUCACAUCGGCGUUCUGUUGCCCAGCACUGCUCUCCACCUGCCGAGGCAGCACCAGCAGCACCCUGCCCCCUCUGCCUGAGAUGCCUUUCAGGAAAAUGAGAAGUGGAUACCUCUUCUGGAAAAGAGCAGGGUACCAGGUCUUAGAAAACCACACCCUGCAAUUCUGCCAGUCGCCGUGGUUCCUAGUGUUGCUCAUGUGGUACCUGGUAACCACAAGAUCCCAUGAGGCCUAGGUCUGGGCUUCUUUAGGAACUGGUCUGUGCCCUGCUCUGCGCCUCAGUUUCCUUGUAGGUAAGAUGUGGGCUUUGGAGCAAACACAGUCUUCCUACCCCUAAUAUACUGGGAAUCCUUUCUCUGAGGAUCUUCGGGUCCUCCUGGAUGCAUUUGAGGAAGGUGAUUGAGCUCUGGGAAGGUGUCACUGCCCUUGCAGGGCAGCCUGCAUUUGCCUUAUACUUUAAUGAUUGUACCACAUGCGCCUAGAUAUGCCUCUGUCAGGAAGCCUUCCUGGACUCUUCCCUCUCCCUAAAGAUCCAGUUGCCUAGAUGACUUCACUCAGCCCUCUGUUGAGUGCUAGUGGUCAUGCAGACUUUCUCUUUCGCAGUGAUUGGGCUCCCCCGACCUUCCUAGGGGGCUUGCAUUGUUAUUUAAUCCGAGGUACUUGUCAGAAUCCUGUACAGGACCAGGCCUUGGGGUCACACAGUGGACAGGGUGGACCAUCUCUGCCAUCAGGGAGUCAUCCAAGCUAAUGGGAAAGGGGAUGACCUUGGGCAGAAAAUCCCACAGAUAGAUAUAAUAUGGACUGUGGCAGGUGCCCUAAGAGUGGUCUAGGGGGGACCUGGUGUGGGCUGGGGAGGAUUGAUGUUCAGGCUGAGACCUGAGGACAAGUGUAAAUGUUGGAGCAGUGAAGUAACAAAUGAGAUGUUAUUUCUCACCAUCUAAUCAAGCAUCUCUGCUUACAGCUGAAGAAACUGGGCUGAAAGCAAAAUGAAGGACCACCAGUAUCUGGCUGCCCUGGAGGGCUGUAUUGGGAGAUAGUGAGGGGGGUUGAAGGUUGACGUGUUGGUGGCGGUCCCCCAAACUCAGUCCUGAGUGAGAAGUCUUCAGUUUCCAACUGACUGGAACCAUCACAGACAAGGAUCUGAUGGGAGUAGGGGGUGACCCAAUCAGAACAGCAUUUAAUUUAAGGUGGGAUUUUUUUCAGUAGGGAACAGGAUAGCAUUUGAGCAGUAACAGCAGCAGGACUGUCAAGAAGGUCACUGCCCUGUCUAGAUCAUUGGGAAUGGGGAGAAGUAGAUCCAAGGAGCCAUGGUGGGUGAGGAGGGGAAGGCAGGAGAAAGAGCAGGCUGGGGAGGGAGGACAGAGAAAGAUGAGAGACUCCCAUUGAAUAGCUGCAGGAAGUGAGGUCAGGGAGGGGUCAUCCCUUGUGUUCAGUUGGCUGCGGGAGCCAGAACCCAGUCUCCUGGCAUCUAUUGCAAAGCUCACCCCUCAUCCCCCAGCCCCCUAAAGGGAGAAAGGGUCACUGCUCUGAAAAGAGGGAGGAACUAAGCAGUGCUGCCCUCAGCAAGCCAGGGAAGGUGAUCCUGACUAAAAGCCAGAAGAGGGGCAGAGUUUGGUCUGCCAGGCUUCAGGGAGAGAACUCCACAUCGCGAGAAAAACUUUGAUUAUAGAGCGGGCUCAAGAUGAAGGGGAGGAGCUGGCUGAGCAGCAGCUGGAGGCUUCAGACAGAAGCCCUGGGUCUCCCUCUCGGGACUCAGUGGGCGGGGACUUGGGGAACACUUUAGGACCGACAAACCUUGAGCGACAAGGUUUCAGGGAGCCCGGGCCCUAUGCCCCCACCUCUUCGACCACACAUCCCUGAGCCUCAGUUUCCUCACUGGCAAAAUAGAGAUGGUAACACCCCCUGUAGCCUGGCUCAAGGCCAAGUCUUCACAAAUGUUACUGCCUCUCUUCUGUGCCCUACCACCCUCCACCGACCCUUACUGGGCUCAGGCUUCAUAGGGAUGUGGUAUGAUCGUCCAGCUCUCCCAUUCAUUCAUUCCUGCAGGAGCAUUGCCAGGCCCUGCGCCCAGCCCAGAACCUGAUAAGACCAUGCCCUCCGUGAGGAGCUCCUGCAGCAGCGGGGAGGGCAUCGAGGCAGUCCUGCAGGUGCAUGAUUACUGUGCUGUGUCAUUGGGGCUGUGUGGAGUUAGGGAGAGACCUCAUUUGCGAGGCCGUAUGUCAGCACCUCAACAUGAAUUCCCUUAAUUAUUUUUUACAAGCCCCGAAAUGACAAGAUCCUAAAAGGGAGAGGAACACCUAGAUGGUGCUCUUUCCUGAGAGGCCAGAACCCUGGCUUUGCAUCCCUGCUUGGCCACCAGCUCGCCUAGGACGGUCCAUGGAUUUUUCCCUCUUGGAAAGAAAUCACUGCCCAUUCGGCCUCCUCCUCAUGAGGAACUGGUGCGGGGAUGUUUUGAGAGUGCCCUGUCAGAUACGGGGUAAGCACGAACCUUCUCCACAGACUAACCCUUUGAGCGGUUCUGGCCUCUCACCUCUUUUCCUGGACAACCUGUGGAAGGUCUACAGGGGGACGCCUCACUGCUUCUUCUGAAGCUAAACUCUGCUGAUCCCCGCCCCACACUGCUAGUGGCCGCCCUCUAGGGCAGGGCGGGGAGCUGAGGCCCUGGGCCUGAUCCCCACCCCCUUGCCACGUGACCUUGCUCUCCUCUGCUCAUUCUUCUCCAGGCACCGCCCCCCAACGCCCAUCUGUUCACCUAGGAGGGGUUGGCCCAGGAAGUCUUUAACGUUUCGAAAGCCAUCUUCUGUGAAAUAUCAGUGAACUUUAUCCUUGUUACUUCAGUCUUAAAGGUAUUGGUUGAAAGAAAGUAUGUUAAGACAAGCAAGCAUUUAAUCAAAAGGGUUUUUUGCAUUAAAGAAUAAACUUUACAUCUCUGGGGUGCAGAAGUGUCAAGAAUCUUAGAGUCAAAGCAGACUUGGGAGGGUCUCUGAGGGAGGAAGACAAACAUAACCCUUCCUUGGUUCCCUGUUGCUUGUGGUCCUGACUCAGCUUGGCUGUCAAAGCCCUGAACCACCCUUGAGGGUGGGGGCUUGAUCUUUGUCCCUUGACCAGGCACAGCACCUGCCUGACCAGGCCUGGAUAGAACCUGCUGGUUGGCUGGCCAGGGCCGUGGAUGGGUGGAAGGCUCAGUCAAUCUCUAGACUCCCUAAGGAGCUAAGUGGCCCUCACUCUCCUAGAAGUGAGGGAAUUCGAUGUGCCUCCCAAGUCUCCUCUUGGCAACUCCGAAGUGGCAGUAUUUUCCAGCCUCUAGGGUCAUAUUUUACACACAGAUAUCACAGACACUAAUACGUCACAAAAGAUACGUGAGAAGAACCUUGUAAAAGGCUCUAUAGCCUGAUAUCCUUCCUGUGGCAACAGGUGGCUGUGAAUCACCUCCCCUCCCUGGGCCUCAGUUUCCCCAUGUGUAAAAUGAAGCAGUUGGACUAGAUAAUCCUUGAGUUCCUUUCUAGCUCUAGCAUCACCCUCAGAUGCCCUGGUACCCAGAACAGUAAUUGGACAAGGGGCAUGGUGACCCCAGGAUCUGGGUCAGUCCACAUCUUGGAGCAUGGCAGAAUCGAUGGCUGCAGCCCCCUGGAAGCUGAACGUGGCAGGAACUGGCUGAGAGAUUUUUUUGCUGAUGGUGAAAUGUCCUGGCAGAGUCUAUGCAGGUAGGUUGAUACAGGCGAGGGGAGGGGUUGGGCUGUCCCUCCCUUGUGGUCCCCGAGUAACAUAUCCUUGCAGAGUCAGAAGCUUCCAGGACUGUUUGUUGGGUGCCAGCUAGAUUCAGCCACUCAUAUUGGCAAAGUGGGUGAACCGUCUUUCCGCACACUGUCCUGGCAGGGCUUGCAGGACUUUCUGCUGCCACCCCUUAAAUGCUUCCCUGCAAUUCACCGUUACUGUGUCUAGAAUCAUACCUUCCUAUAGCCUUUUGGUUCCCUGUCCAGGUGGCAUACUCUCUGAGGAUGUUGUGGCCCUGAUGCCAUAAUCAGCCAGGAAUAACUUAGCUCAGUGUCAGAGCCACAAGGGGAAGACUUGUCCAAAGUUGGAACUCUGACUAUUGAAAGAAAAAUAAUAAUCCAUUUUCAACCUCACCUCAGAGCACACCCCCAUAUUCAAAAACUUUUGAUCAGAAAGGAGACAUAAACCCAUUAAAAACCAGAGAGGAAAAAAAAAGACAAACAGAGAGAAAAGGAAUUGGAUAUUUAAAGUGUCUGAAAGGGGAGCCCCUCUAAGCUAAAAAGCAACAAAAUGCAAGAAGGCAAAGACCGACCAAUUUGAAUACAUCAAAACUAAGUAUUUCCAAAGUCGAACAAUAUCACAAGCAGAACCAAAAGGCAGAGUGGGUAAAGUAUUUGCAGAUCCAUACUGUGUAAAAGAUCACACGCAGAAGCUUAACAGUGAAAAUGCAACAGAUAGGUAUGUAAUUCAUGUAAACAGCUUACAGAAGAGGAAAAUAGAACUGACAACAUUUUUUGAAAAAAUAUUCAAUUUCACUAAUAACAGAAGAUCAAAGAUAAAAAACAAAAAAGAAGCACUAGUUUUCACCAACAAAUUAGGGGAAAAAUGUUUAAGAAUACUCAAUGCUGAUGAGGGUACAGUGGAAGAGGCACUAAGUGCGAAGGGGAAUGUGAAUUGGUGUAAGAUUUUGGAAAGUAAUAUGAUAGUCAAAGAGAGGAGAGAGAUGAAAGUUUCAAGAAAGGGCAAAUGGCCUAUAUAUUUAUACAACAUUUAUUGAGUGUCUACUUUGUGUCAGGCAUGGUGCUGGGUGUUAAAAUGUGAAGAUAAAUAAGAUAUAUUGUCUGCUCUUGGGCACACAGUCAAAGAGGUAGAAAAACACAGAUUCUAAAAUGAUAUGUAGUAAGAAGGCCAGAGAUAUGCUUGGGACACAUGCAAAGCAUGGAGCAGCUGGGGUGGGUGGUACAAGUGUGCAGCUUUAUGGGAGUAUCCAGGGAGGUUCCUAGAAGAGGUGCCUGGAUGAGUAGGAGUUAUUCAGGUAGAGGGCAGAGACAGAAGUGAGAGGCAUCACGGAUGAACUCAUAGACAGGGUUGCCAAAGUGUGAAAUAAGAGGCAGGGGAUGGAGAAGGCGGGACCAGAUCACCUAGUGCCAUGACUGUCUAAUUGAAGAGUUUGGUCUUUUUCCUCUUGACAACAGGGAGUCACUGAAGCAUUUUGAGUGGGCACGUGCCGUGGUAAUAUUUCUGUUUUAAGAUGAUGACUCUGGUUACUUGGAGACAUUUGGAGGUGUGAGAACCAGUGAGGAGAUGAUUGCUUUGGUCCAGGUAGAGAGGGCAAGGCCUGAAUUAGGGUGGGGGCCAAGAGGAUGAAGAGAAGGUAAAGUUAGGAGAAGCUGCUGACUGACUGUUGCUGGGGUCAAAGAAAGAGAGUCAAGGAUGCCUCCCCUGUUUGUGUCUUGGGCGGAUAGAAUACCCAGGAGAAAGGGCAGGCCUGGGGGGCUAGAAGAGGAUCGUUGAGCUCAAUUUUGGACAAGUUGAAUGAAAGGUGGGCAUCCAGGUGGAGACGGCCUGUGAGGAACUAGGAGAGAGCUUGGAUCCCAGCAGAGAUUUGAAUGAAAGAUUUGGGUUGUGACUGAUGGCAGUUGUAGCCAUGGACUUUUGUGAGCUGCCCUAGGAGAAUGUGGCAGCUGAGAAGAGAAAGGGGGUCUAAGACAGAGAACCUCUCCCCCAUUUAAGGGUGGGCAGAGAGAAAGAAAAGCUCACAAAGGCAAAAGAGAAAGCAGAAAGAUAUGGAAAAAGCACCUGGAGCCUGUGUUGGCAUGGAAACCCAGGGAUGUGGAGCGUUUCCAAGAGAGAAUAAUCAGCCAACAAAAGAGAAAAGCCAGCUAAGUAAGGACUGAGGGCACGCUGGAUGGAGCAGUUAGGGCCCCGAUCCUCACAGGGGCAGUAGUAAGGACUGAGGGCCCGCUGGAUGGAGCAGUUAGGGCCCAGAUCCUCACAGGGGCAGUAGUAAGGACUGAGGGCCCGCUGGAUGGAGCAGUUAGGGCCCAGAUCCUCACAGGGGCAGUUCCUGUGAGAGAUGGGUCAGAAGCCCCCACAAGGUGGGCAGAGGAAAGUGAAAGGGGGAGGGAAAGCAGGCAGCAUGGCACCUGUCCUGGGGAGUUUGGAAUAUGGGGGAGAAGCUGCUAGGGCUAUGAUUUGAGUCAGGACGAAAUUCUGGGCUGGGCUGAGAGGAAACAAGGAUAGACAUGAUGGAAAAGAGGUUGAAAGGGCUGUUACCUAAAGUCCUCUUUAGGCAAGAUCAAAGGGCAUGGGUGGUAAGGAGGAAUAAUGGCUAUCGGUGACCCUGACUAGAGCUGUUGUCAAGUAAGAAAGUCUACAUGCCAGUUUGGAGCUCACAGAGGAAGUGUGGACAUCUCCCUAGGGGGCAGAUGGAGAACUAGGAGAAGGUGCAGAGUUCAUGGAGCAGGGCCAGGCUCUGAGCUGUGACUGACACUUCAGGGAUGGAUGCAGGAAGAGGAUGCUGCUGCGGAGACUGGGAAGCAGUGGCCGGAGGAGAGGACCGAAAAAGUGGGGGCCCUAGAAGCCCAGGGAGGAGAGAGUUUCCAGAGGUCAGGGUGGCCAUUUAUGUGCCAGAUGCACAGAAGUCAGGGCAGGUGAGAGCAUCCCGUGGACCUGGUCUUUGGGGACCCCUGCCAUAGCAACUCUGGGGGAGGGGGAGAAGCCCAACUGGGUGGGGGUGAUCUGGAGACUGGCUGAGAAAGCAGGAGGGAAAAGGGAGACCUGAGAGGACAGAAGUUUCUAGAAGGUGCUGUUUCUUACACACUGACAUUUGGAGGGAGGAGGGCUAUGCGAGGACAGAAGAGCAGGGACAGGUAAUGAACGGGGCCCCGGGAGCAGUGGGAUUAAGUGUAUAGGUGAAGGGAUUAGUUGUGUUCGUGGAAAGGGGAAAAAUUAAAUCAUGUACAUUUUACCAAGUAACCUGAUCUCUGUGUUUUUCUGGAGGUUGUUUUUAUGCCCUCCCAGUACUGACUACAGCUCUAAUUAGCAGUAGUUUCAUCCUGCCUGAUGUCUGGGGCUGUGUCUUAUUCAUUUUUGUACCUUUUGGUACCUAGCAACAGGCAACGAGCUAGGUAGAGACAGAAUAAUUGUUUUCUGCUUGAAAUCAAAUGUCUGAAAUGGAGGUUCAGAAUUUUUUAACCACAAAGAUUUUGUGACAAAUACCAAGGAAUUAACAAACAGGGAAAUAAGAGUCAAGCUGUCUGUAUGUGAGGCUGUCUGGGUCUCAGGAAAUGCACUCUGCACUCUGGUGUGGGCACAGCUCUUUAUAGUUUUUAUGGUGAGGUUGUGACCAUUGUCUCAUCUGGUCAUGGCAAACCCACUUUCCUUCCCCUAGUGAGGCAGACAGCUACCGUUAGUCCCAUUUCACAGGUUAGGAAGCUAAGGCCCGGAGAGGCAGGAUAGAGGGACGGAAUGAUGGGCAUUGAAGUCGGUGGGGAUAGGGCACAAUCUUGAAUGCUUCAUUCAGGGUCUUCACCACCACUACCUGGUGGUAUCUCCUAGACAUUGAGGAAUUCUAUUUUUUCCAAAGUCAAGAGGGAGCCUUGGUCUAACUGGCUGAGCUCGGGCCUCAUUCCAUCCUCUGACAGGACUCGGGUGGUGAGAGGCAAGACCUGAAGGAGAGGCCUCUGUGGCUUCUGUGUGAGAGAGCAUCCCAUGUCCCACCACAGCCACGUAAAAUAGGGAACAGGAAAUCUCCCUAAACAAGCGUUGUUAGGGUGGAAUAAGGGAUGCUAGAAAGCCCAACUCCACCCGCCCCCCGCCAGACAUCCAUUAUAGGAAGUAACCAGGCAGAGGCAGGGAGACCUGUUAGGAGGCCAGGGUCCAGAUUAAGAGAGGGAGAGGCCUGAACUAGACCAGUGGAUAUGGAAAUAGAUCCAAAACUUGGAGGUAAGAACCAGAAAUGAUGGAUCAUUAGCUAUUAGGGGGAGAGAGAGGGUGAAGACAAAGACUCCCAUGUGUCUCUGGGGUCUUGAUGGUGGAGAGACCUCUGGGAAGGGGACCACAGCAUGGGGAGCCAGUGUGAGGGGCAAGACAGUGGUCUCAGAUACAGCCAAGGGGUCAGGGUCAUAGCCAAGUGGAGCCCAGCAGGCACUUGGAUCAAGGGUCUGGGGCUCAGGAAGAGACUCUACUGGAAGUACUGGCCCAGGGCCCAGGAAGUACUCCCCUGACUGCUUGAGUAAUGGGAGCCCAGAGAAUGAGUGAGAUCACCAGAGAAUGGGGCAGGGCCCAGGGCAGAAUCAUGAGUUACAGUGACAUUUGAAGAACCAAUCAAGGUGUGGGUAGGCGACAAAGGAGAAAGAAAAGGAAAGGCCUGAGACGGGCGACAACCAACCAGAAGAGUGGUUGCCAUGGAAACCAAGGUAGUGAAGAGUUUCAAGGAGAAAGUAAUCAACGCUGUCAAAUGCAGCAGAGAAUUCCAGUAAGAUAAAGACAGGAUUUUUUCUUUAGAUUUGAUGAUGAGUAAGCUUUUGAUGACCUUAAUAAGAGCAUUUUGGAGGAGUGAUGGGGCAUAGGCUUAAAUAAUGUUGAGAUGUGAGGGAGAGGUGAAUCUGUCGCCAAGAGUCCUUUGAGGAAUCUGGAAAGAAGACUUGGAGAUGUGAAGGACAAGGGUGGGAAAGUUGAGUGUAGGAAAGGCAGGAGCAAGUUCAUAGGCAGAUGUCAACGCCCAAAUGUGACGUGUGGUUUAGUGACGACAAAAGUUUAUUCAUUCUACAUAUUCUAGUUUACCACCUAUUUUGUGCCUGGCAUUGUGCCUAGCACUGUGGAUUCUGUGGUGAAUGAGUUAAAAUAGGCAGAUUUCCUGUUCUCGUGGAGCUUGUAUGGUAGUAGGGGAGAAAGACAUGAAUCAGAUAAUCACACACAUAAAUGUAUAACUUUUGACAGGCACUCCAAAAGAAAAGUGCCAAGUGCUGGAGGGUGCACAACAAGGGGACCUGCCCUAGGCCAACUCCAGGAGGCUUCCCUGAGGAGGUGACACUUGAACCAAGUUAAGGAGACAGAGUUAACUGGACAGAACAAAUUGGAGAAGAGCAUUCGGGGCAGAGGGAACAGUGUGUGCAAAGCAAGGUGCUGUGAGACCAGAGAGGCAGGCAGUGCUGGCUGGGCAGAGCUUUAGAGGCCAGGGCUGAGCUCCUGUGUCCAUCAUGAGAGUGAGGGACACGUGCCCGAGGCCUGCCCUAGUAUUUCCUGUGAUCUGAGACUCUGGCUGGUCCAUGGAGAAGUCAUUAGAGGAAUCACUUAGGGAGACCAGGUAGGAAGCUUCUGUCUGGACACAACACAUUCUGGUCAGUCUUGGUGCUGGAUGGAUUGAAGAGGGGGAGGGAGAGGAGGAGGUAUUCCAGAAGUCCCCUGAGUUUCUGGCUUGCCUUACUGGUGGCGUGGCAGUGCUUUUCUACAAAGAAACUAGGCCUGUGAGGCAGACCCCAAGUCUGGUGGUAGACAGCUGAGGCACCCAAGCUGGGACGUGGGGAGGAGGUGGCUGAAUGCAUGGACCUGGAACACAGAGCCUCUGAGACCGGUUCAGAACUCCUGAGGGGUCCUGAGUGGAAAUGUCAGUUGAAGUGGUAUCAGGUUUCUGGAGCAUUCUGAGGGGAUGAGGGAGGCUGAGGAAGAAGAGGCCAGGCACCAACGACUGGGGCCUGUAAAAGGAAAGAACGACCCUCCUAAGGUACAGAAAAGAAAGGGCCAGAGAGGUCUUUCCCCAGAAAGAUGGAGUGGUCAUCAGUGGGUAUGUGCAGAAAGGUCAGGGGUCAAGGGCACAUCCACAAGCCCCUCCAAUGUGCAACUGCACAAUCACCAUAGUGCCCCUGGAAUUGGGCAGCCUGGGGUCCCUGCUGAUUGCCACCCCCAGGGCCCAUGGGAGGCCUCUGGGGACCUUAACGGAGGCAGCUUUUGUGGGGGGGGGGUGAUUAAGGAGAGGAAGGAGAGAGGCAGCAAAGUCUAGGCCCUUUAAUUAAAUUUUAGUCUUCAAGGAAAGAGCAGUGCUGGCAUAUGAAUAUUCUGAGGGGAUGGAGCCAGAGCAAUGGAGUGAUUGAGGAUGGAGACAAUUAGUGAAAUGGGUUCCCACAGGGGUUGGGUUCAAGUGUGGUGAUGGAUAAAUUAGUUUGGGGCAAUAAUGUGUAUUUGACUGAAUGGGGCAAAAUUUAAUUAUUUACCUUUUAGAGGGUAACUUGAUCUCCAUGUUCUUUUGGGAGCUUUUAUCUGACCUAUGUACUAACUACAGCUCUAAUUAGCACCAUUUUUAUCCUGUCUCAUGGCUGGGAUCCUGUCUUCUUCUUUUUUGUGUUUCUCAGCACCUAGCAACAUGCAGUAAGCUCUCUGGGUGCUGAAUCAAUAUUAUCUGCCUUGGAAUGAAAAACCUGAAGUCAACAUUCACACUUUUUGACCAGAAAGAAUCUGUGACGAUUCUCCGGAAUUAUGAUGCAGGAGAGAAUUGGGGUAUUAAGUCAUGGUGGCAGGGGUUUGCACGGGUGGGUAGGUGGAGAAAAAGUAAAGAAGUCGGCUCUCCUCAUCCUUAUAAGCUCUGUGCCAUUUAUGCAUGUUCACAUUCAUCAUCUCAUGUGAACUUCACCUUCCCCCACAAGCAACAGAGCAUCACCCUACAUCAUAGAGGAGGGAACAGAAACUGGAGAAGCAAGUGCCUUUCUGACAUAGAGCACAAGUAGCAGGAGCUGGAUUCAACCUCAGUCCAUCCAGGAUCACAGUCCUUCUUCCCAGGACCAGGUUGAGCUGAGAGGAAGAAGAAGAGGGGUCUGUGAGGUCCAGGUGGAGACGCUCCGCAGGCACGUGCGGAAGGUUGGAGACAUGAUGUGUACAAGCUGGAGGUGUUGCUCUCAGCUAGUGCGCCCUGUGGGACUCCUGGUGUAGCCGACGUGCUCUGCCGCAGUGUUCCUUGCAGCUGGCGACUGGCGGCCUUAGGAUUACACAUGCUUGAUUUUCUUGUUUCCUAUUGAUUGACUAUUAAAAUGUUUCCAGUGUCGUUCCAUUAAGACAAACCUGUAAGAGCAUCUUAUAAUUGUUCAUUUUGCACAUGUACAAGUAUUUCUCUGGGAUACAUACUUAGAAAUGGAACUGAUGGGUCAUAAGGUAUUUAUAUCUUAAAUUCUAAUAGAAAUUUCUGAAGUGUUCUCCAAAUUGCCUUCUAAUGUUAUCUCCUGCUAGCAGUGUGUGUGUGUCCAUUUCCCCAGACCACGUCCAAGUUUUCCAUUUUUAACCAGUCUGAUGAGUGAGAAAUAGUAUCUUGCUUUAGUUGGCAUUUUUCUGAAUUACCUGCAAGACUGAAGUCUUCAUGUGUUUACUGUCCAUUUUCAUUUCCUCCUCUGGAUUGCUUGUGCAUAUCCUUUGCCUGUUUCUUUUUUUUUUUUUUUUUUUUAGGUUUUUUUUGUCUUUUUGCUAUUGAUUUUUAAGAGUUCUUUAUUUGAAUAUUAAUACUUUGUCAUGUAUAUUGCAGAUGUUUUCUACAUUGUGAUUUGUGUCAUUUAACUGUGUAGUAUCUUUUUGUCUUAGAGAAAUUUUAACUUUGAUACGAUCAAAUUUGUCAAUCUUACUUUUAGGCCAUUUUUACAGUCUUAUUUAAGAAAGUAUUCCCUGUAUCAAGGUCAUAAGUAUUUACUGUAUUUCCUUCUCUAAAAUUUAUAGUUUCUGUAUACAUACAUAUUUAAGCCCUUAUACUAUAUACAAAAAAUAAAUUCCAUAUGUACAAAUCUUAGGAUCUAACUUUAAUUCCUCCCCAUUCCCCCCAACACCAUUUAUGGAAUAAUAUAUCAUUUCUCCACUAAUUUAAAACUGCCUCUCUGCCUGACACUAAAUUCCAAUGCGGGUCUAUGUCAGAGCUCUUUCUGGUCCACUGAUCUAUUUGUCUACUCCUGAGCUUGAUAAUAUGCUUUGCUAACUGGCAGAACAAAUCCCAACCUCUCUGUUGUUUUUGUAAAAUUGCCUUGAUCGUCCUUGCAUAUUUGUCCCACCACAUGAAUUUUAAAAUAGCCUGUCGAGUCUCAGGAAAAAUUCUGCUGGGAUUUUAAUUGGGAUCACAUUGAGUUUUAGGUAAGUUUGAAGAAAAUUGGCACCUUUAUCAUAUUUGAGUCUUCUGCCAAUGCUUAUUGCUAUUAUCUCUCAGUUCCGGUCACUCUCAUGUCUUUCAGGGAAGUUUUAUGGUUUUCUCUAAAGUCUUGCAUAUUUCUUGAUAAAUUUAUUCCUAGGUUUAUUACAGGUUUUGCUGUCAACUGUGAAUAGGGUCUCCUCUCCGUUUAUUUGUUUGGCCCUUGUUUUCCCAUAUUUCAUUUCAACCUGUUUACCGAUCAGUGGGCUUGACUUGCAGACACACACGCAAAGUGAACAUUCUUCCUCCGGGGGCACAAAUAUGCAAGCACCACCAAACACACAGAGCCGGCGUAAUUGGCUGAAAACAAAUUAGAGUAUUUUCAGAUUAUACUUUAAUUAACGAAGUAAAGCAUGAAUACAUUUUCCUUUUGAAAGUAGGACAAUAUGAAUGUAACUAAAGUUUCCUUUGGCCACCCUCUGAAAUCCUAGUUUCCCUCCCUCACCCGCAGUUUUAUGUGUCUCCUUCCAUAGAAAUGUAAGUAUCAAUGGAGGUAUUUUGAAUGAAUCAUCGCACUCUAUAGAGAUUUUACUGUAAGCUGUGUUUUUUCACUCCAUCUUAUAUUUCUAAGAUAUGCUGAUAUAAAUAGCUCUUGCCAGUUCCUUUUAGUAGCUGUGUUAUAUUCAUUCCCAUGAAUGUGCUACAUUUUUCCUUCCUAAGAUCCAUGGACAUUUAGUUGCAUCCUUUUCUUUCCUCCAUCAUAAGCAGCGCCACAGAAAACGGCCUUACACCUGCCUCUUCUGUAAUGUUUCUCUAGGGUGGUGAUUGAGAAGUGGAAUUUGUGUUCUCAGGGUUUCCACAUUUUUAGUUUUAGACGUUACCAAAGUGUCCUCCAUAAUUUCUGUACCAUUUAAACUUCUAGCCAGAGGAUAUGGGAGGACUCCCCACACCAUAAGUGAUUGUUUUAAAUGUUUGCCAAUUUGCUGGGUGAAAAAUUGAAUAAUUUUUUAAAGUUUAUACAUACCUGUUUGCUAGUGAGAUUUUCAUGUGUUUUAGGCAUUUGUAUUUUCUCUUUUCUGAAUGAUCUGUUUAUUUUUGCUCAUUUAAAAAAUUAGGUUGUUUGUCUUUAUCUUAUUGAUUUUUGAGUUUCCUAAUGUAAUCUGGAUAUUAAUCUUUUGUGUGUGUGUGUGUGUAUAUAUGUAUAUAUAUAUAUAUGGCAAAUGUUUUCUUCCAGCUUGUCUGUUGCCUUCAAAUUUUGUAGGGGCUUUUGUUAGACAGAAGUUAUCAAUUUUGACAUAAUCAAAUUUAUCCAUCUUUUCCUUUAUUCCUUGUAUUUAUAUAUCAUGUUUAGGCCUUUCUUACUCCUAAGGUUUAGGUAUACUCUGUAUUCCUUUCUAGUAAUUUUGUUUUUAUUUGGGUCUUUUUUGUGUGGGGGGGUAUGCGGGCCCCU